Molecule: transfer RNA, 72 nt
Filed under: Saccoglossus kowalevskii
Lineage: Eukaryota; Metazoa; Hemichordata; Enteropneusta; Harrimaniidae
Description: tRNA-Glu
Rfam family: tRNA
About the family: Transfer RNA (tRNA) molecules are approximately 80 nucleotides in length.
Source: RNAcentral
UCCCAUAUGGUCUGGUGGUUAGGAUUUGGCGCUUUCACCGCCAAUGACAGGGUUCAAUUCCCGGUGUGGGAA